GAAGUCUAGUCUGCUGAGGAUUAUUCUAUUUCGCAGUCUAAUGGUGCACUGCUGGUGGCAUGAAAGCAAUCAAAUGGUAAAUUACUAACCCUUAUAACCUCUUGUGCCGCACGACUGCUAGUUCUUCAACUAAAAAAAUACAUUCUCCUGGCAUGCUUUCUGGAUGUGGUAUUACAUGAUAUCAGUCCCCAAAAAAUAUAAAUUUCUUCUAUUGUCAGUUCAAUUUUCUCUAGUAUGUAUGUUCUGAAGAUGAUGAGAGAAUGGUCUGGUCGAAAGUAGUAGGUUAAUUAGUUAGUUGUUGUACUGCAAUAGUGGUAUGAAGAUGAUGCACUGCAGGGGUGAUCUGAAGCCGUGAACCGAAUGCCUUUUGCAGUAGUAGAGACGUACUUGAUAUAUAUUCGCCCAAGCCACAUCUUUGCUUACUUGAUCUGAUGAGCAGCCAUAUUUUGCUCAAGAUAACUAGAAGCAAAAACAGUCAACAGUGGCAUAGUACAGUAGUGCCGCCUGACAUCUCCAUCAGCAUCUCUCUAUGUCAUCUCUGUUAAACUCGCCUUUCCUUGUAACUCUCUAGACUCCAGUAGUACUUGUAAGUAGUGGUAUUGUAUGAAUCAAUUAGAGCCGAGUGAGGCUGCUCCGUCCCCCUAUGCCUUCUAUGCCACUAUUCCUUGCCGUCGAAUCUUUUUCCUGCUCUUCACGGGUCAAGAUCACACCUUUUUGUUAGAGUCGAGUGAAAGUCUUUCGGUUUGUGUAGAGCUUGUCAGUUCAACAAUCAGUCCAGAGGAGGAGGUGUAGCCAUUCCACCUGAUCUCUGGCAUCUUAUUCGACCUCCAAAAAUUUCAUUCUUGAGUUCUAUUCUUCGUCAUAGGUUUACUACUAUUACCUCAGUGCAAAAGUGCCAGAAAGUUCAGUUCAGACUAUACUUAAUGUCCAUAUUGUAGAUAAUAUUUGCAUUGUCUUAUACUCCCUCCGUUCCAAAAUAGAUGACCCAACUUUGUACUAAAGUUAGUACAAAGUUAAGUCAUCUAUUUUAGAACGGAGGGAGUAUUUAUUAGUGUGGUUUACAUGCGUGGUAUCUGAUCCAUCAGUGCCAAGUGCACUAUGCCUUACGCUCUAGUAUUUUACCCACUUGAAUGAUUGUCCCUAGUGUCCUUCUAUGACCACGAGACUAUCACAUUAUAUAUUGCACUGUGUGCACAUUCACUGCAUUUUCUCUUUUCAACAUUGUGCUCCUUGCAUUUUAAUUGGUACACCAUUUUCCAUAUCUAGGAUGAUACAACAACUUAGUGGUUAUGCAUACACCCACUGUCAGCAAACUUGUGAAUCAACCACCCGGGCCAUACAUUGAAUUAAUGUUUAUUUGUAAUAAUUAGUUUAUGUCCAUUCAGAUAAGCAUGAAAAUGCAUCACCCCCUGAGUAAACUGAAGAGUCCAUUGAGUGCUUUUUAAUUCUGGCAAAGAUGAUGGCCUUGAAAUUGUUUGACCAUAUUUAGGAUCUUCCCUCCAUUCUGCCCCCCCUCUUCAUAUCAGCAAGCAUCUCCUCUUGCAGCAGGCAUCUCCUUGCCCACCACAUUGGCUGGGGCAUGCCUUUUCUUAACUUCGUUUGAUUUUGUCAUGAUUUAUGUAAAGGCCAUUAGUGGUACUAGUACUUAUGUUACAACUGGCCAUUGACAAAAAAAGCUACAAAAAAUCAUUUUUUUUCUUAUUGCAAAAAAAUCUGAAUUUGCUCAGUUCAACAUGUAUUGUAUCAUCAAACAACUCAUAUGCAUUUUUAUAUGCAUCAACCUAUACAGUUUGGUGUGUCAGUUUAGCUAAGAUCAACCUAUAUGCAAAAUUUUCAGUAAAUGUUCAGCAGGAUCUCUAUGCUAUUGGUUUCUUCAGUUUACUUGCAAGUUCUAGUAAAAAAAGUUGCGUACACAUCCUAGCCACUGCUCACCUCCGCACCUACUACUGCAUACAUGGAACUAUGUGGGAAGAUGCAAAAGAGAUCAUUGUCCAUCGUCAAAGUUGCACAAUACAGUAUAAAUGCAUGUAUGUAUGUAACGGAGCUAGCUAGAUGUACUCUAGUUCGUUAGUUCAAUUCAGUUCAAGUUUUGUGCUAGCGUGCUAAUGAAAAUUGAAAAUUAGCAUGCCCUUGGUAGUAACGAGAAUGUAGAAAUGGAAUGCGGCUUUGACGUGUCCAUGCGUGACCAUCACAGAGCAGGAGGGAUACCGGGAGCGAUGUGUCAGGAGCUCUACUAGAGUUGUCACCGGCGACAUGGUUUCAGUUCUAUUUGGCGCAAGUCGGCAGGUUCCUGAUGUUGUGUGUGUCCGUUCUACUUGCACGAGGACGUCAGGUCGCACAAGUGGGCAGGUCCCCAAUGGUGAGAACUUGUUCUAUUCCUGUUGCUAUCAAGCUGUUUGUUGAUGUGCUUACAAGAAAUAAAAUAUCCUUUUUGAUGUUUCAUUGUUGCCAAAUAAAAGCUGUUGUUUGAUUGACACCACCGUCUUGCAUCAAGUGACACCAAACAUGUCUACUUGAAUGUUCACAAGAAAUGAUCACACACCAAAGUGACACCCUCGGUUUAAUGCAUGUUACUCAGCAUCCUCCCAAUCCGCUCAAUCAACUUCUUAUUCCACCUCCAAAAAAAAAAUUCUUUUUGAGCUCUAUUCUUUGUCACAAGUUCACCGCUAUUACCUCAGUUCAAAAAUGCCAAAGAGUUUAGUUCAGACUAUAGUAAAUGUCCAUAUUGUAGAUAAUAUUUGCAUUGUCUUAAAUUUCUAGAAACAAGCUUCAGUACAAGAAAAAUGGGUCAGUCAGUUCAUCCAUAUCCAAACCCCCGUCGACGUGCGACGGCAGGAAACAUUUCCAGGUUGUUUUCUUUCUCUCUUUGCUUAGCACAAAUUGCACAAAUUCCUAGUAGAAAUAUAACUUGUUACAUGGGUAGGUUCAUGAAAUAUUAUAGUAGUAGUUCGGUGAAAGGAUUCACAUCAGUUCAAACAUUUUUGAAUGUUCAGUAAAAUUUCAAAUAGACUAAAGGCUUUCACCUCAUUCGAAAAGGCUAAAGCAACAGUACAAUGAUAGAAAAAAAUUAGUUCAAAAAAAUGAUGGAGGUUAGUCGGAAUGGCGGAAAAACAUCAGUUCAAUUUUUCUGUACCAUCACUUUUAUUGCUAAAUGUUUUAGUCACUUGUUUUCUUGAUGCCAUCAGGUAUUAUCUUAAAUACUUCGGUCUUCUGCCGCUGGUACUAGUGUGGAUGGGUAGCAAGUUCAACUACCAAUCAACAUGAAGUUCGGCAUGUUGUAUGAUUCCCACACAUUCCUAGAAGUUGUUCUAGGAUUGGAAAGCUAGCAGCAGCAUACUCCUGUUUUCACUGUUUAAGUUCACCUGAAUUUCUAAUUAAAUUCUGUUCAUAGGAGUGCUUGUAAUCAAUUAGGAGUAGUUUGGUUUUACUUAUGUUCCAUGAAUUUCUAGUACCCUAAUAGAUUUGGUAGUGACAUCACAUGAGCUCCCUCUCCACCACUCCAGGAUAUGCAGCGCUGUCCUAGUCCAGCCCCAUGGCAUACAUUAACUUAGUUGUUAUAGAAAAAACAGUACAAAACUCCUUUUAUUUUUAUUUCUAAACUUAUGAUGUUACUGUAAAUUAACUUGGUUGUUCUUUUUACAUGAACUUGUGCAUUGCCUUGUCAGGUUGUGCGUCUACUACUCAAAAGUCUGCAAUAGUUCAACGAAAAAUGUCUACAUCAGUUUCAACUCAAAAAGACCAUAAGUUCAGAGGAAGAAAAGGACCACCAACACGUUUUGGCCCACGCAGGCCAUCAGAGGAAGAAAAAAAUGUUUCUCCAUUCAGUUCAGGUUGCUCUAGGAUUUGUCCAUGUUCUGGAGGGAAGUAAUUGACUUGUGGUUUGGAGUGGUACCUAUUGUAUAGCAAAUAUGUGUCACCAAAUAUAUGUUGAAUACUAUUGAUUGGAGGGAUGUGUACUGUUGUACCUUUCCUGCUGGAUCCUUCUUUUAUAGAAUAAAUAUUUGUUGUUUUUUACAGGAAUAAUUAUUUGUUGUAUGUGAUGUGAUCUGCAAACUAUGUAUCUAGAUUUGGUUCUUUUUAUUUUUCUAACUUAGUACAGAACAUUGAAUGAUCCAUUAUAUGUAGUUUCA
This 4130-nucleotide long non-coding RNA is filed under the name Triticum aestivum (bread wheat). Its description in RNAcentral is "long non-coding RNA (TAES_LNC016300)". Lineage: Eukaryota; Viridiplantae; Streptophyta; Magnoliopsida; Poales; Poaceae. The record is from RNAcentral.